Molecule: ribosomal RNA, 253 nt
Filed under: uncultured bacterium
Lineage: Bacteria
Description: partial 16S ribosomal RNA
Rfam family: Bacterial small subunit ribosomal RNA
Source: RNAcentral
UACGAAGGGGGCUAGCGUUGCUCGGAUUGACUGGGCGUAAAGGGCGCGUAGGCGGUUUGCAUAGUCAGACGUGAAAUUCCUGGGCUUAACCUGGGGGCUGCGUUUGAUACGUGUUUGCUAGAGUGGGGAAGAGGGUCGUGGAAUUCCCAGUGUAGAGGUGAAAUUCGUAGAUAUUGGGAAGAACACCGGUGGCGAAGGCGGCGACCUGGUCCUUGACUGACGCUGAGGCGCGAAAGCGUGGGGAGCAAACAGG